GUAUCCGAUGAGAUGAAGUCAAGUUUCGCGCCGGAAGAUAACGGCUGGGAGUAAAAAUUGCGAUUUCAGCAUUGGAGAUCCUCUAAGUCCUACUUAUCACCAAUCAAUUACCUCAAAUGAAAAGUUACCUCGCCAUUAUUGCUCAAAAAGACUGGAAGGAGUCCUGUUGAGGAUUUAGAUUCCUUCUCUUUUGAAAAGUGCAACCGAUUGAAGUUAUAAAGGGCUCUGGGGUGUUUUGCCAGGCAGAAGUGUGGAAAGCAGCCCUCCUUGCCACCUCUGCUACUGCCAUGGUGUGGAAUCUGCUGCUGGGCACAUUUGAUCUGGAGACUUUGCUGAAAAACAACCUGAAUGGUGGGAAGCCAACCAGAGGGGAUGGGGAGCAGCUGGUCGCCCUUGACCAAAUUAAAAAGGCAUCAUUAUUGAUGCUACAUUGAAGAAGUGGCCGUCAGCCAGCCGAGGGGAGAUGGGCACGUCUAUCAAUUCAAAGCUCAUGGAGC
Pimephales promelas (fathead minnow) is the source of this 497-nucleotide non-coding RNA. NCBI's taxonomy places the organism in Eukaryota, Metazoa, Chordata, Actinopteri, Cypriniformes, Leuciscidae. The record is from RefSeq and is a predicted model, not a curated record.